RNAcentral lists this ribosomal RNA (436 nucleotides) under uncultured bacterium. Its description in RNAcentral is "bacterial SSU rRNA". It matches the Rfam family "Bacterial small subunit ribosomal RNA", at positions 354 to 772 of the family's 1533-position model. The record is from RNAcentral.
GUGGGGAAUAUUGCGCAAUGGUCGAAAGACUGACGCAGCGACGCCGCGUGCGGGAGGAAGCUCUUCGGGGUGUAAACCGCUGUUGCCCGGGACGAAACGACCUUUCGAGGUCAUUGACGGUACCGGGUGAGGAAGCGCCGGUUAACUCUGUGCCAGCCGCCGCGGUAAUACAGAGGGCGCGAGCGUUGUCCGGAAUCACUGGGCGUAAAGGGCGCGUAGGUGGCGGCAUAAGGCCGCGGUGAAAGUUCGGGGCUCAACCCUGAAUCGGCCGCGGCGACUGUGUCGCUCGGGCACUGUAGAGGCAGAUGGAAUUCCGGGUGUAGCGGUGGAAUGCGUAGAGAUCCGGAAGAACACCGGUGGCGAAGGCGGUCUGCUGGGCAGUGGAGUCGCAAGACUCUUUUAGCCGACACUGAGGCGCGACAGCGUGGGGAGCAAA